This 391-nucleotide unclassified non-coding RNA is filed under the name soil metagenome. RNAcentral's name for it is "partial contains 5.8S ribosomal RNA, internal transcribed spacer 2, and large subunit ribosomal RNA". The stretch from base 1 to 122 matches the Rfam family "5.8S ribosomal RNA", at positions 35 to 154 of the family's 154-position model. The record is from RNAcentral.
GAUGAAGGACGUAGUGAAAUGCGAUACUUGGUGUGAAUUGCAGAAUCCCGUGAACCAUCGAGUCUUUGAACGCAAGUUGCGCCCGAAGCCAUUAGGCCGAGGGCACGCCUGCCUGGGCGUCACACGUCGUUGCCCCCCCAUCUACUCCUUCGGGAUUGCGGGGGGCGGAUGAUGGCCUCCCGUGCGCCUCGUCGCGCGGUUGGCAUAAAUGCCAAGUCCUCGGCGACGCACGCCACGACAAUCGGUGGUUGCGAAACCUCGGUUGCCCGUCGUGUGCGGUCGUCGCGCAUCGAGGGCUCGAAAAAAUUGUCGGGCUCCGGCUCGGCUUUCAACGCGACCCCAGGUCAGGCGGGGUUACCCGCUGAAUUUAAGCAUAUCAAUAAGCGGAGGA